RNAcentral lists this unclassified non-coding RNA (766 nucleotides) under uncultured Bordetella sp. Its description in RNAcentral is "partial 16S-23S ribosomal RNA intergenic spacer". It matches the Rfam family "Bacterial small subunit ribosomal RNA", at positions 11 to 783 of the family's 1533-position model. Lineage: Bacteria; Pseudomonadati; Pseudomonadota; Betaproteobacteria; Burkholderiales; Alcaligenaceae. The record is from RNAcentral.
GAUUUAAAAUGGCUCAGAUUGAACGCUGGCGGGAUGCUUUACAUGCAAGUCGAACGGCAGCACGGACUUCGGUCUGGUGGCGAGAGUGGCGAACGGGUGAGUAAUGUAUCGGAACGUGCUAGUAGCGGGGGAUAACUACGCGAAGCGUAGCUAAUGCCACCAUCGCCCUUCGGGGGAAAGCGGGGGACCUUCGGGCCUCGCACUAUUAGAGCGGCCGAUAUCGGAUUAGCUAGUUGGUGGGGUAACGGCUCACCAAGGCGACGAUCCGUAGCUGGUUUGAGAGGACGACCAGCCACACUGGGACUGAGACACGGCCCAGACUCCUACGGGAGGCAGCAGUGAAAUUUUGGACAAUGGGGGAAACCCUGAUCCAGCCAUCCCGCGUGUGCGAUGAAGGCCUUCGGGUUGUAAAGCACUUUUGGCAGGAAAAAGAAACGGCACGGGAUAAUACCCCGUGCAACUGACGUACCUGCAGAAUAAGCACCGGCUAACUACGAGCCAGCAGCCGCGGUAAUACGUAAGUGCAGCGUUAAUCGGAAUUACUGGGCGUAAAGCGUGCGCAGGCGGUUCGGAAAGAAAGAUGUGAAAUCCAGAGCUUAACUUUGGAACUGCAUUUUUAACUACCGAGCUAGAGUGUGUCAGAGGUGGAAUUCCGCGUGUAGCAGUAGUACGUAGAUAUGCGGAGGAACACCGAUGGCGAAGGCAGCCUCCUGGGAUAACACUGACGCUCAUGCACGAAAAGCGUGGGGAGCAAACAGGAUUAGAU